Long non-coding RNA from Chinchilla lanigera (long-tailed chinchilla), 2296 nucleotides. Ensembl lists it as uncharacterized. The record is from Ensembl. NCBI's taxonomy places the organism in Eukaryota, Metazoa, Chordata, Mammalia, Rodentia, Chinchillidae.
CGCUGCCUUCCUGUCAGUCACACAGCCUGGGUGUUUCCGCUGGCUGGGCACAUGAGGACUUGGGUGAGGAGCCCAGGUGACCAUGGCAGGAAGGCACCCGGGCUGCCGCAGAGCGUGAGGGGCCUCCUCCUCCUCAAGGACAGCUGUGCCGCGGGGGGCCGCACGGGCAGCCUCACUUCGCCAUGGAGACAGGCUUGGGACAUCUGAGCAGGAGUCGGGUCUGCAGGGGCUGUGGCUCUGUGUGACGGGGGCCCAGCACAGCCCCUUGGUGCAGGGACUGGAAGUGCACCUGAGACCCCCGGGGGCAGUGCCCCCAGCUGCCAUCCCCUUGGUGCCCUGGGCUGAGUGAGGGUAACGCUCAGCCUCUGUGGCCGCAGGACGACGCCCCCAGCAGGCGGGGUCCUCAGGGAGACGGAGAUCCUGGUGGUCUCGGGAGGGGGUGAGGGGUUUCUCAGGGUUUUGGGACAGGGAAGUGUUCUUUAUUCAAUUUCCUCUCUACUUGCAAAAUGUCUUUGUAAGGGGAAAUAAGCACCUCGGUAUUUGUCCGCAGGCUGAAGGGGCUUUUUCAUCCCGAAUGAGUGUCAGCUUACCGAGCUCCCGGCCCUCUGGUGGCAGGACUGGUCAAGCCACCACUGCAGUGGUCACUUAAUGUCACCCAACACUGGGGACAGGUGUGUCAGGUGUAUGGAUGGACAGAACCCCUGCCCAGCCUGGAGGGUGGCCGGCACCCCCAGCCCGAAGGCCCUUCUGACUCUGUCCUGGAUCUGCCACUCCAGGGGGACCAGCACUGGACCCUGCGUGUAGAGGCCGGGAGAGGACAGCCUGCAGCUCAGACACACGUGUGGGGAUGGGCUGUGUUGGGCUGCUGCUUGUGUGAUCCAUGUGCUGCCUUACAGUGCACUUACAAAGUAGGUCCUGCAUGCCUCCGCACAGUACCCUGAGUCCCUACAAGGAUUUACCCCAGCCACUCGUCUAACAUCUGUGAGUCUUUGGGCUCCAUGUCAGAGUUAAACCUCGGCCCAGCGCACACCGGACACGUGGAGAGAACCCCAAGCCCUAGCUUCGGACCAGGAACCUUGUGGGCCGGGCAGCGCUGAGGUCAAGCAUGGAUCAAAGCAGUGAAGGACAUACAGAAAAAGUCAGCAGUGUAAAUAUUGACAAACUUAUAAAGGAUUUCUCACAUGUAGAAAAGAAAAUAAUAGAAACUAGUGGAAAGAAUAAUGUACUGCGGAUUCAGUUGGAAAGACCACCUGUUUAUUAAAAGUAAUCCAAACAAAGAAAGUCUCACUUAAAAAAGAAUGUGCUGCUCUUCACGAUAUGAUAAAAGGGCUACAACAGACUACUGAAUAGCAACACAAUUUGAAAGGUGAAAAUGAACAACUAAAAAGAAAUGUUGAUAUGACAGAGGAAAGGCUAAAAUCUCAAGAACAGGAAUAUCAGAAUAAUAUCACCAAACUUGCAUAUGAAAUAAAAAUCAAAGAGUAGGAACAUAAGAUAAAAUAAGCAGACUUUAUCAAAAUAUGCAGAAAAAGUUGAAUUAAAUGAAGAAAAGCACAAAGAUCUAAUAAAGAAAAAAUAGAUGGAAAUUUCAGAGUUAAAUGCAAAGUUAGUAACUCAAGAAAAGGAAAAGCAAAAUGAAAUAAACUACAGCUGGAGUUAAACUAGGUCCUCAACCCCGGCAGCACGAUAGAAUCACCUACUUUGAGAAAAAGACACCAACCAUCCCCUACUAUCUCUAAGGUGCCCAGGCAUUUGGUACUUUUUAAAAGCUCCCCAGUCUGAUGCCAAACUAGCAAGAGUUCCGACUAAAUCAAAACCCUACCCAGGUGCUGCUGUUUACCCACAAAGUAUCUACAGAAGGGAGCUUCAACAUUUCCAAGAAGAAAAAAACAGGGAAACUACAAUUCUUUGUAUUAUCAUUCGUAAUUUGGAACAGCGCCUUUCUAUUGGCAAAGAUCCUCAGCUUAAGAGCAGACGAUUUUGAGUAUAACAGUAAAUUCAUUAAUUAGUAUUUACUUUUCAAAAGCAUUUAAAAAUUCACUUUCAUUUUCAAAGUAAGCCUAAAUAAUAAAAAAAAAAGAGACACUUAAGAAAAAGAGUAGGAGAAAUUACAAAAACUGUGCUAAGACAUGGAGAUAAAACAAUAGUCUUUUAAUGAAGAAAUUGAGAUGGAGUUAAAACUUUCUAAAAUCAAACAAAAGUGGAAACACAGCGUACCAGGAUCUGGGAUGCACUGAAAACAGUUCUAAGAAGGGAGUUUAUCAUUAUGAGUGCCUGCAUUAAAAAAAAAUCCGAG